UACGAAGGGAGCUAGCGUUACUCGGAAUUACUGGGCGUAAAGCGUGCGUAGGCGGCAUGGUAAGUUGGGAGUGAAAGCCCUGGGCUCAACCUAGGAAUGGCUCUCAAAACUACCAAGCUAGAAUACUUGAGAGGAUGGCGGAAUUCCUAAUGUAGAGGUGAAAUUCGUAGAUAUUAGGAGGAACACCGGAGGCGAAGGCGGCCAUCUGGCAAGAUAUUGACGCUGUUGCACGAGAGCGUGGGGAGCAAACAGG
This 253-nucleotide ribosomal RNA is filed under the name uncultured bacterium. Its description in RNAcentral is "partial 16S ribosomal RNA". It matches the Rfam family "Bacterial small subunit ribosomal RNA", at positions 524 to 776 of the family's 1533-position model. The record is from RNAcentral.